Pseudophryne corroboree (corroboree frog) is the source of this 779-nucleotide long non-coding RNA. RefSeq lists it as uncharacterized. The record is from RefSeq and is a predicted model, not a curated record. Lineage: Eukaryota; Metazoa; Chordata; Amphibia; Anura; Myobatrachidae. The transcript has 2 exons.
GCAGCCCACUGCUGACCAGCGCUCACUGCCGCACGCUGCACUGCCACUGAAAGCUGACCACCGCAGACAACUGGCGGCGGUCAGAGGGACAUCAACGCCGCAGCAACGAAGGACAGCUUAGUACCGCCGCAUCCCCUGCAGACCAUGGGCUCAUCUGCCACCGACAACCACAGUCCCUUCCGCACCUCCGCUGCACAUACCAGGUUCCAGUUCCUGUCUCCAAGCUUCCACUAAAGAGACCCGCUCCAGUCUACCAUCUGCGGUGCAGCCUGACUCUCCAGUCCUCUGGGACUCAUCUGUUUCCAGCUACAGAUUCACUUGCUUCCAGCACUUAGCUUCCAGCAGAGAUCAGCUCUUCUUAAAGUGCCGGUACCAUUUCUGCAGAUUUCCAUUUACCACCGGUACUAUUAUUUCACUGCUCUCAAGCUCCAUAUAUCAUUCAUAUUUCAUCGCUCUCAAGCUUCAUUUAUUAUUUGGCUGGUUCUAUCCAGUAAUCCACUCCGUGUCUACAUCUGUCUGGUUCCAACCAGUACCCACAGCAGCCACUUUAUCUACAGCAGCCCAGCUUCCCAUGGAACAUCAGCUGGUAUGAUCCUGGGCUAUCUCCAUUACUACAGUCGGGCCUGGUAAGGACUUUCCAUCUAGAAGAUAAUAAGAACUGUCUCAUACUAUCAGAGCCCUGUGGCCAUUGCCAUCCUGUAGUUCCCAGGAACUGUGUCAUUUAACUGCUGAUUUUAUGUUUCUCUUUUAGUUUGUCAAAUAAACAACAUUGACUUUUA